UACGGAGGGUGCAAGCGUUAUCCGGAUUUACUGGGUUUAAAGGGUGCGUAGGCGGACAGGUAAGUCAGUGGUGAAAUCCCCGAGCUCAACUUGGGGACUGCCGUUGAUACUAUCUGUCUUGAAUACCGUGGAGGUGAGCGGAAUAUGUCAUGUAGCGGUGAAAUGCUUAGAUAUGACAUAGAACACCGAUUGCGAAGGCAGCUCACUACGCGGUCAUUGACGCUGAGGCACGAAAGCGUGGGGAGCAAA
This 249-nucleotide ribosomal RNA is filed under the name uncultured bacterium. Its description in RNAcentral is "partial 16S ribosomal RNA". It matches the Rfam family "Bacterial small subunit ribosomal RNA", at positions 524 to 772 of the family's 1533-position model. The record is from RNAcentral.